UACGAAGGUGGCAAGCGUUGUUCGGAUUUACUGGGCGUAAAGGGAGCGUAGGUGGUUAGGUAAGCCCUCCGGGAAAUCUUCAGGCUUAACCUGAAAAGGUCGGGGGGGACUGCCUGGCUAGAGGACGGGAGAGGAGCGCGGAAUUCCCGGUGUAGCGGUGAAAUGCGUAGAGAUCGGGAGGAAGGCCGGUGGCGAAGGCGGCGCUCUGGAACGUUUCUGACGCUGAGGAGCGAAAGCAUGGGUAGCAAACAGG
Molecule: ribosomal RNA, 253 nt
Filed under: uncultured bacterium
Lineage: Bacteria
Description: partial 16S ribosomal RNA
Rfam family: Bacterial small subunit ribosomal RNA
Source: RNAcentral